Molecule: ribosomal RNA, 270 nt
Filed under: uncultured prokaryote
Description: partial 16S ribosomal RNA
Rfam family: Archaeal small subunit ribosomal RNA
Source: RNAcentral
CACCAGCUCCACGAGUGGCAAUCGUAUUUAUUUGGUCUAAAGCGUCCGUAGCCGGUUUAAUAAGUCUCUUGUGAAAUCAUUGAGCCUAACUCAAUGGUGUGCUCGAGAUACUGUUGGACUAGGAACUGGGAGGAGUCAGAAGUAUUUCUGGGGGAGCGGUAAAAUGCUAUAAUCCUAGAAGGACUACCUGUGGCGAAAGCGUCUGACUAGAACAGAUUCGACGGUGAGGGACGAAAGCUAGGGGAGCAAUCCGGAUUAGAUACCCCAGUA